UGUGGUGGCGAUAGCCAGAAGGAUACACCUGUUCCCAUGCCGAACACAGUAGUUAAGCUUCUGUACGCCGAGAGUAGUUGGAGGAUCGCCUCCUGCAAGGGUAGGACGUUGCCACGC
Molecule: ribosomal RNA, 117 nt
Filed under: Apilactobacillus ozensis
Lineage: Bacteria; Bacillati; Bacillota; Bacilli; Lactobacillales; Lactobacillaceae
Also listed under: 3 other names
Source: RNAcentral